This is a non-coding RNA of Phrynosoma platyrhinos (Desert horned lizard), 71 nucleotides long. Lineage: Eukaryota; Metazoa; Chordata; Lepidosauria; Squamata; Phrynosomatidae. The record is from the annotation of a GenBank genome assembly.
GCUAGGGUGGCAUAGUGGUUUGAGCAUUGGAGUUCAGUUCUGGAGACCAGGGUUCGAAUCCCCGCUCAGCC